CCACAGGGUCCAGAUUUCUCCCUUUUCACUUCCUUUACAUCUAUCCAAUGCUGAAGCUCCUGAACAAGUGGCGCCAGAUCUGUGCCUCUGCAGUGCAGAGAAGAACCAGCCCCACAGAAGCAUAUUCAUUAAAUAAAACUGGGAUGUUCCAGUGGGCAAUGUCUGUUCGCAAAUAAUGGGAAAAUGUUUCAUGUUCCACCCAGGAAGGUGUAAGAGCAUUUCAGUAAGUGGUUAAUAAAUUCUUGGUCUUUAUCCAUUACCUACCAACACUUUCCACUCCCCUUCUUCCUACAAAACUCACAUAUGCCAUCUCUCUCGCCAUCUUUCUUGGACAGAUAUUCUGAUCUUGUUUUUACUACUUUUACAGUGGCUUCACAGUCCUAAUUUCUGUUUCAUUUCUCUUAAACUAUCCAAGCUUAAGCAAGAGCAGACUCAGGGUCUCUACUGGACUGGGAUUUUCUUUUUUUUCUUUUUUCUUUCUUUUUUUUUUUUCUUUUCAUUUCUUUUUUUUUUUCCCCUUCUAUUUUUUUUUUUUUUUUCAAAUUCAGUGUCCCAACUGAUCUUAAACAGCUGUCUUUUUUUCAUUUCAGGAGUAGCUUAAGUCUGCAUUCUUCAACAGCAUACAGCAGUUAUCAGUUAAUGAGAUGACUUGUACCCUUGUCCACACUUGCAUCACUAUGGCUUCUUAAAUGAGCUGAUGUGCUGCAGCUGAGGAUUAAACCAUCUCUUUCAAUAUUGCAUGCACUGCAGCACAAGUCACUCACUCCAGCAACCACAGAGGUGAUUGCAGACCUGGGAAAGUCAAGAUGAGCAGAAACCCUUGUGCAUUAAAGCCUGCAUUUAAUGUCCUGCCUGUCCUAUCAUCACUGCUGUUUCUUCUCCACCUAUUGUUGGGAAAUGUCUUGACAAGACCUGUGAAGUCACCUGAAAAUGGUGGCCAGGACUUCAAGAUUCCUCCAUCACUGAAGUUAUCCUGCCAUGGAAACACAUGGGGCCCUGCCCCACCCCUGGGAAAAAAAAAAAAAAAAAAUGAAAAUAGAAUGAAAUGUGUUUACUUUCCCUUAAUGUCAUGCAUAAUGUCAUGCAUUGUUUGCAAUGGAUCAUUCAUCAUCACAGCUCACCCCUAUGAAUGAUUCAUGAGGGGACAGCUGUUCCCAGGACCAGCUCCUGAGUUGCACAUACCAUGGGAGAAGCUCAGCACCUGAGAAGAACUGGGGCUUCUUCAACUCCAAAAGCUUCAUAUUUUUUUUCAAAUGAAGGCAGGGCUGUAAUGCACCCUAAAAUACAUUCAGCAGGGAAGGAGUGGGCAAAUAGAUUGCAUGGAAAAUUAAAAUGUGUUUCAAGGUAUACAGCAAGACAGGGUUUAAGGAGACAUAGCAUUAUUUUGAUCAGCUGUAAACAUUAGGAUUCAAUAUUCUAUGUGGGAUUCUUCUGGCUGUCCACAAAAUGCAUGCAUAUAACACACAAAAUGUCAUAAAAAUGUUGAUGUGUUUUGUAGGUAUUAUUUGUCUCCUGUUUCUCAAGAAACACUCUAAAUUUAACUGUGGGCACUACAAAGGACAAAGUAUAGCCAGUUUGUGUAUCCAUUUCUGAUUUCCUUCUGAGUCUUAUCUAGUCUUUGUAUAAUAAAAUACAUGUCUCACAUAACCA
Molecule: long non-coding RNA, 1650 nt
Filed under: Anas platyrhynchos platyrhynchos (common mallard)
Lineage: Eukaryota; Metazoa; Chordata; Aves; Anseriformes; Anatidae
Description: lncRNA (ENSAPLG00000027939.1)
Source: RNAcentral